AUGAAGAAAUAUUACUGUUUUUGAAAACAUACCUAAGUGGAUUGAUUCUACCUUCUUUUUUAUGUUGUGGCCUUGGAUUGUUCCUCCAAGUUUCACCUAUGUAGAAAUUCUAGAGCUGAGUCCAGUUCUCAAAAGGUCAUCUGGAUGAGAAUGAAAGCAACAGAGAUAUUGUGUUUUUUAUAAAUUGAAGGUUUGUGGCAACCUUACAUUGAGCAAGUCAAUCGGCACCAUUUUACCAUCCAGCGCAGAUGGUGGAAAUAUUUUU
This is a long non-coding RNA of Myotis daubentonii (Daubenton's bat), 265 nucleotides long. RefSeq lists it as uncharacterized. The record is from RefSeq and is a predicted model, not a curated record. Lineage: Eukaryota; Metazoa; Chordata; Mammalia; Chiroptera; Vespertilionidae.